AAAACCUAAUACAACGAAAGCCCUACCUCUCUUUCGUCCUUACAACUCCAUGGUUGUGCCAGUGUGAAUCGGUCUUUCUUUCCUACC
Molecule: small RNA, 87 nt
Filed under: Aureibacillus halotolerans
Lineage: Bacteria; Bacillati; Bacillota; Bacilli; Caryophanales; Bacillaceae
Description: BsrC
Rfam family: BsrC
About the family: The 301 nucleotide sequence from Kouji Nakamura has been trimmed to a highly conserved ~85 nucleotide long core to form this family.
Source: Rfam by way of RNAcentral